UCGAGAGAGAGAGCGACGAGG
RNAcentral lists this microRNA (21 nucleotides) under Lotus japonicus. RNAcentral describes it as "lja-miR7539". Lineage: Eukaryota; Viridiplantae; Streptophyta; Magnoliopsida; Fabales; Fabaceae. The record is from miRBase by way of RNAcentral.